Molecule: long non-coding RNA, 417 nt
Organism: Rhodamnia argentea
Lineage: Eukaryota; Viridiplantae; Streptophyta; Magnoliopsida; Myrtales; Myrtaceae
Exons: 2
Source: RefSeq, a predicted model, not a curated record
AAUGCCCUCCCCGAACAAAUCCAUGGCUACGUCUAUGUUAGACUUUCCCUUCGUGUACUUCUCGAACUUGGUCUUCAAUACGUACUCGACGUUCAUUGGAUCAGCCGUGUAAAUCUCACAAUGGCCUGGUGCAAGGAGCCGGUGGAUACUUAGAGAUUCGGAGGGACUUGCCAGUGAAGAUUUUGAGGAGAAGGAGAGAAAAGGCGAUAGAGAGAGCGAUUGGAACGAGUGCCACGGAGUAGAGCAUCACAGACACAAUGUUGAUGUCCAUUUUUCUGUGAAGAAGAUGGAAGGUGAUGAAUAUGAAGAUCAAGUAGAUGAUAUCCUUGCCUUGAUUUAUGUCUCAAGACUCUUGACUUCGUCCAUUUGUCUUUACUUAGCACUUUAGAAUGUAAUAAUGCAAGAGGAAGAUUUAAA